CGCAGAGGUGACAGCCGGUGGCUGCCGGGUGCUCUAUGACGCCUGCCCCAAGUCCCUGAGAUCUGGCGUAUGGUGGCCCCAGACCAAGUUUGGUGUCCUGGCCUCAGUGCCCUGUCCUCGGGGGGCCCUGGGACUGCGGGGUGCAGGUAAGGGGUAUAUGUUUGCGCAGGUGCACUGCCCCCUCCCUCUGCCUGAGGUCUCUAAAGACUACUCCUGACCACUCCAAGUCCCUGGAGCCCCCCACCAGGCCUGAGGUCUUUGCAGUCCCCUCCCCAGGUCCUGGUACCCCCUCAGGUCUCUCCCCACUGCCUGAGCCCACAGAAGGCCCUCCCCACCUGAUCUGGGCACCUUACCCAGUCCUGCCCGCUGCCUGAAGUCCCCUGGUGGCUGGGCAGGGGUUGUCUGUGCCUGCGUGCUCGCGGGGGUGUCUGUCUGUGCCUGCGUGCUCGCGGGGGUGUCUGUGCCUGUGCACGCCUCUGAGUCUGUCCCAGGGCAGGGGGUUCCUAGUUUGAGUCCAGUUCUCUCUUCGUGGCCACAGGCUCUCUAAGGGCCCGGCCAGUUCUCACACAGCCCCCACACCAGCACACAGACAAGGGAGAGAUGGCGGCAGGGUCCCCUCUGGGCAGUGGACAUUCACAGAACUCCCACCCCACUUCCCUUGGUCAUAAAAUACU
This is a non-coding RNA of Manis javanica (Malayan pangolin), 674 nucleotides long. The record is from RefSeq and is a predicted model, not a curated record. NCBI's taxonomy places the organism in Eukaryota, Metazoa, Chordata, Mammalia, Pholidota, Manidae.